This is a non-coding RNA of Picea glauca (white spruce), 364 nucleotides long. The record is from Rfam. Lineage: Eukaryota; Viridiplantae; Streptophyta; Pinopsida; Pinales; Pinaceae.
GGGGAAAUGUUCCAUUUGAACAUCACUUGGACAUGGUCGGUUAGUCGAUCCUAAGAGAUGGGGAAUCCUUGUAUCAAGGGUGCACUCUUCAUGAACAUCGAAAGAGAAUUGGGUUAAUAUUCCCGAACUGGGACAUGGUGGUGGACGACAAUGUUAGGAAAUCUGGAGAUGUCAUCAGGGGUCUGGGAAGAGUUAUCUUUUCUUUUUAACGACUUUCCCACCCUGAAAUCGAUUCAACCGGAGAUAAGGUCCAACACCUGGAAGAGAACCACACAUCUUGCGGUGUUUGGUUCCCCCUCAAUGGCCAUUGAAAAUAUGGAGAACCGAGUACCAUCCAUGCCCGAUCGUACUCAUAUCCGCCUCC